Molecule: long non-coding RNA, 257 nt
Organism: Fundulus heteroclitus (mummichog)
Lineage: Eukaryota; Metazoa; Chordata; Actinopteri; Cyprinodontiformes; Fundulidae
Exons: 3
Source: RefSeq, a predicted model, not a curated record
GCAGCAGAACAGAACAAAGAGAAGACUCUGGAUCAGGGCUGACUGAACUCCAGGAGAUGGAGAACAGAGCAGAACCUCUAGGAUCCAGAUGUCCAACUAUGAGGAGUGAUGGGUCCAAACAUUUCCCUCCAGACUUCAAAGAACCUGGACCCUCAGAAGGUCAGAACCACAGACAGAGAGCAGAACCUCCAGGAUCCAGCUGUCCAUCUAUGAGGAGUAACCGGUCCAAAGGAAACCAUCCAGACUUCAGCAAAGAA